GAUGAACGCUGGCGGCGUGCCUAAUACAUGCAAGUCCAGCUAACAGACGAGUAGCUUUCUCCUCUGACGUUAUCGCCGGACGGGUGAGUAACACGUGGAUAACCUACCUAUAAGACUGGGAUAACUUCGGGAAACCGGGGUUAUUACCGGAUAAUUUAUUCAACCGCUUGGUCCAUUAGUGAAAGCCGGUUUUCCUCUCCCUUUUAGUUGGCUCCGCGCCGCAUUAGCUAGUUGGUAAGGUAACGGCUUACCAAGGCAACGAUGCGUAGCCGACGUGAGAGGGUGAUCGGCCACACUGGAACUGAGACACGGUCCAGAAUCCUACGGGAGGCAGCAGUAGGGAAUCUUCCGCAAUGGGCGAAAGCCUGACGGAGCAACGCCGCGUGAGUGAUGAAGGUCUUCGGAUCGUAAAACUCUGUUAUUAGGGAAGAACAAAUGUGUAAGUAACUAUGCACGUCUUGACGGUACCUAAUCAGAGAGCCACGGCUAACUACGUG
RNAcentral lists this ribosomal RNA (497 nucleotides) under uncultured bacterium. RNAcentral's name for it is "partial 16S ribosomal RNA". It matches the Rfam family "Bacterial small subunit ribosomal RNA", at positions 28 to 507 of the family's 1533-position model. The record is from RNAcentral.